Molecule: ribosomal RNA, 253 nt
Filed under: uncultured bacterium
Lineage: Bacteria
Description: partial 16S ribosomal RNA
Rfam family: Bacterial small subunit ribosomal RNA
Source: RNAcentral
UACGUAGGGGGCAAGCGUUGUCCGGAUUUAUUGGGCGUAAAGAGCGUGUAGGCGGCUAUUUAAGUCCUGCGUGAAAUCCUGCGGCUCAACCGCAGACGGUCGUGGGAAACUGGAUGGCUAGAGUGCGGGAGAGGAGAGUGGAAUUCCCGGUGUAGCGGUGAAAUGCGCAGAUAUCGGGAAGAACACCCGUGGCGAAGGCGGCUCUCUGGAACGCAACUGACGCUGAGACGCGAAAGCGUGGGGAGCAAACAGG